GGCAAUCCUGAUUCCAGCCGUGCUGAAACUAUUCCCAACGCCAGCCAGGAAGUUCCUUCUUUCGGCGUGCUCUGCCGCUCAGCAAACCCAGACUUGCCUUAAGCAGGCACCGGGUCUCUAUGUAUCUCUGAGCCCUGGAAGAGGCUGUGUGAGUCUGUGUGCCUGGCCACAUCGCUGGAUUGAGGAGGCCCCUCUGUGGCCUGCGGUGGAGUUGACCCACCUGGGGAAAUUCAGUUGUGACAUCGGCUCUGCCUAAUUUCCCUCACCAAAUCCACAGUAGUUCCAAGAGGCGACAAUGAGACACGUGGGAUUGGGGCGGGUGGGUGUCACAGAACUGAAGCGAUUAACUGGAGCAAGAUGUGCAUUGUUGUGGGGGCGGGGUUACAACUGAAACAAGCCCCUUGUACUACAAAAAAAGUCAAAGAUCAUUGCAGCCGUCAGUCGCCACAAGAACACUGCCACGCUGUCGUCCUGGGCCACGCUGAAAGGCCACCAUAACAGAACAGCUGUCUAAGGUCUGCCAAGCUGAAACACCGCAAGCUGUAGCUCCGGCUCACAGGUCUACUACCAAGCCCCAUGUCCAGCUGAAGUCCCUGUUCGCUCUGGCUGUUGGCCCUACCUGGAGUGGCUCCUCCAGCCUCGAUCAUAGAAUCUUUAUAGAACAGCAAUAGAUCACAGGUCUUCUAAAUCCUUCCCUAUGUGACACCAAUGACAGCGGUGACCUCCAAAAUAACUCCAACUGUUCAUCGCCCCUAAUGAACGUCUCGGGGAGCUCGUUGUUGGCAUGCCUAGCUUCUCAGGCUAACAGACAAUCUUGUGGAAAGCCGGAAGCUAGCUGUGUCUCCUAGACAUAACCAACAGGCUCAGAGAUAAUUGGGUCAAUUAGUGAUAAAAAUCAGCUCAGCAGCUUCCCCAAUGGUGCAGAGAACACAGACAUGUGUGCCCCUGUUCUAGGACUCCUCACCCACCGACACACCUGGCAUCUCUGAGCCACUCAAGCACAGGCCGAGUGUGUGGCCUUCAGCUCGGUAGUCUUCCCCUGCUCCUGAUGGAUACUUGAUCCCUCAUUCACGAGACAAUCCGUCCUGUCUUUGGGAAUGUCCCACUUCCUUCUCAGUAUGCCCUGAAUAUCUGCUUUCCUGGACUCUCAUGUUUGUGUGGAAUUUCUAGGGGGAUACAAUGAUGUGUGUGAAAAUAUAAGAGACACUCACGUGUGUUACUGCUAUA
Long non-coding RNA from Arvicola amphibius (Eurasian water vole), 1227 nucleotides. RefSeq lists it as uncharacterized. The transcript is spliced from 2 exons. The record is from RefSeq and is a predicted model, not a curated record. Lineage: Eukaryota; Metazoa; Chordata; Mammalia; Rodentia; Cricetidae.